UACGGAGGGUGCAAGCGUUAUCCGGAUUCACUGGGUUUAAAGGGUGCGUAGGAGGGCAGGUAAGUCAGUGGUGAAAUCUCCAAGCUUAACUUGGAAACUGCCGUUGAUACUAUCUGUCUUGAAUACCGUGGAGGUGAGCGGAAUAUGUCAUGUAGCGGUGAAAUGCUUAGAUAUGACAUAGAACACCGAUAGCGAAGGCAGCUUGCUACACAAUCAUUGACACUGAGGCACGAAAGCGUGGGGAUCAAACAGG
Molecule: ribosomal RNA, 253 nt
Filed under: uncultured bacterium
Lineage: Bacteria
Description: partial 16S ribosomal RNA
Rfam family: Bacterial small subunit ribosomal RNA
Source: RNAcentral